GAGCGUGUAGUUCAGUGGUAGAACGCUGUCCUGAUAAGACAGAGGCCGAUGGUCCGAUUCCAUCCACGCUCA
Molecule: non-coding RNA, 72 nt
Organism: Candidatus Nomurabacteria bacterium
Lineage: Bacteria; Candidatus Nomuraibacteriota
Source: Rfam